RNAcentral lists this ribosomal RNA (253 nucleotides) under uncultured bacterium. RNAcentral describes it as "partial 16S ribosomal RNA". It matches the Rfam family "Bacterial small subunit ribosomal RNA", at positions 524 to 776 of the family's 1533-position model. The record is from RNAcentral.
UACGUAGGGUGCGAGCGUUAUUCGGAUUUACUGGGCGUAAAGCGUGUGUAGGUGGUUUGGUGCGUCUCCGAUUAAAGACCCGGGCUCAACCCGGGGAGUGUUGGAGAUACGGCCUAACUAGAGGUUUGCAGGGGCAGAUGGAAUUCCCGGUGUAGCAGUGACAUGCGUAGAUAUCGGGAAGAACACCGAUGGCGAAAGCAGUCUGCUGGGCUUAUCCUGACACUGAGACACGAAAGCGUGGGGAGCGAACGGG